This is an RNA transcript of Zingiber officinale, 6352 nucleotides long. RefSeq lists it as uncharacterized. The record is from RefSeq and is a predicted model, not a curated record. NCBI's taxonomy places the organism in Eukaryota, Viridiplantae, Streptophyta, Magnoliopsida, Zingiberales, Zingiberaceae. The transcript is spliced from 5 exons.
AAGUUCAGCUUGGAGCAACAUGGGCUUUAUAAUGUUCCAUUCGCUUCCCGAACGCAAAUUCGCCCUUCGUUUCCCAUCUGUUCUUGACUGGCAGUUCAAUCACGGUUUUAUUGGGGUUUCGCGCGCGCGCUCUCUCUCAGUUGCGAAACUCGGUACAUCUAACAUCCGGUCGUUUGAUCGCUUUCUCUGACCCUCAUGGAGAAGAAGACUGUCUCUACGUUGAAGCGUGUAUUACUUAAUUGUGCUUCUCAGACGAAAGAAUAUGGGUUGUGCAUCUCAAGAAAAAGUUCCAGAGAUUGAGCGUGAUAUGUGUUUGAAUGAAUUCCUUAAACUAAAAGCAUGCAUGCAUGCAGAGCAUGUAUCAGAUCAGCAACAAGGUGUAGAAUUGACUCAGCAGCUAGAUAAGCUAUUUGGGUUCCCUCUUAAACUCUUGGACAUCCUUGGAGCUGGAAGAUUAAGUUAAAAUUACCUGUUUGAAGCUCAAGUGUAUUGAGCAGGUUCUGCGAAUAUUGUUUGCUUCAUAUAUCUGUAAAUGCGUACAAAGAGUUAUAUAGUGACAGGUUACCUGGCUAGAGGCUCUAAGCUCAAAUUAUACUAUGCCAGAAGAAGCUUCUGAUGAACAGUCUCAAGGGGGAAUUAGUGGUUUUGGUGCACUCUCUCAUGUUUACAUGCAAUACCCACCCCUUCGAUGCAAUGCUCCUGGAACACAACGACUGUAUUAUGACAAUGGGAAUAAGUUGCUUCUGGCUCCAUUAUCUGACCAUGUUUUGUCCUACAAAGUUGGUACAUCACAGUUGGAUCCUCACAGUUCUGAUUUUGUUGGUGGAGGACCUGUUUUAUUCAUCAGAUAUUCCCUUGAUGCAAAGUUAAUAGGGAUUCAUAGGUCUAAUCAUGAGAUACAAUUCAAGAAUAGAGAAUCCGGGCAGAUAUUUAGUCACAUAUGCAAAACUGACACUGAGAGAAUACUUGGAUUCUUUUGGACAGACUGCCCCUCCUGUGAUCUUAUCUUGAUUAAGACAAGGUUGUUUCACCAAAAAGCUCAUUACAAUGUAGCUACAAAUGCUGAUUUGCACAUUUUAUUCUAUAAUGUUUUAUUUUUAAAUAUCUUAUUAAAAUAUUUUGACAGCAUAAUAUUCAAUAAGGUAACACAUUAUAGUUUUAUGUGGUCAUGUGGCCAUUUAUACUACUCGGAGUCAAAAUAGAUCUGGCUAGUAAAUGCAGCUAGAAUUGUAAUUAUUUGUUGUUCUCUUUCAGUAACUAAAAUUGACUUACCUCCAUGCUGAAGUUACCUUGUGUCAUAGAAUACUAUCUGUUCAUGUUGUAUUAUUUGUAAAAAUACUUGUUUUAGUGGUCCAUUGUUCAGGACUCACUUGUAAAUAUACGAUAUAACCAUUCUUAUUUUUAAAUAUAUCAUUGAUAUAAUAUAUCAAAGUAGAAAAGGAUUAUCUAGGUUAAUGUUUUUUAUGUUUCUAUGUCACAUGGUGUUAGAGUCAUCUCAACUGUUGGAAUUCUCCUCUUCCACCUUAACCGUUUGUAGGUCAUCGCCGGAGAACCUACGAGUUUGAUUCCUGUGGUAGCAAAUCUUCCUCUGUAGCUUCUUCCUCCUUUUCCUUGUGCCUCCAUUGCUCAAUGUCUUGAGAUAGCAAAUUGUGGCCUAUCAAUGUUGCCUCACCGUCUACCACCACUCGAUUCUAUUGUUCUUGUCAUUACUGUUGGGCUUUGUUGCUUAGAAACUAAGUAGAAUUGAAAUUGAGUAUAUGCAAUGUAGUUUUAGUAAUAAUUAAUAAGAAAAAGAAUUAAGAGAAUAGUUUAGAUGUUUGAAGUUUGAACAUGAACUUCCUUGUAAUAAAAUUCUUAGAUAUUAUAAUCUAUUAUUCAACAACAAGAAGAUAUUGAUGAAGAUAUGUUACUAGAAUAAAAAUGUUGUUAAAAUGGGGAGGAGCUUCUGGAGUCUUGUGUCAUCAUUUAGUGUUGCAUUUGCUUAGGGUAAAAGAAAAAUUUUACAAGACUGGUACAAGCUUUUAUCUUUUAUGAAUUAGAAUGUUGGAUAAUUAGGACAUUAAGAAGAUAUAUAACAAGAUGAGAAUACAUGAAUGUGUGAGGUUAUUAUGAAAAUUAAAAUAAAAAAUACUACUACUUGAACCAAUGAUAUUUUUCUCGAAUUGUGAAUAAAUUGAGAGAAAAUAGAUUGAGGUGGCAUUAACUUUUUUAAAGGUGGCAUUAACUUUUUUAAAGGUGGUGACCAGUGGACUCUAUAAUUAAAUGAAUUGAAUCAUUAGAGUUGACGAUGCAGGAUGUAGAUGAAACCAAAAAAAGCAAGUUAAUACAUUGAAAAAUUGAUUAAAUGAUUUGGAUAUUACAAGUUGUAUAAUCUUGCACAAAGUUAAAUGUAGGAUAACAUCCAUGUAGCCGAAUGCAAAUAGUUAGGACCUACUUAGCUUCAUGAUGAUGAAAGUUGUAAUAGGAGUGUGUGAACAUAUUUUGUUCAAAAUUAGUACUGUAUAGAUGUUAACAUUUGUUCUGUUAAACAAAUGUGUUUUUGUAUGUCUAGGGGGCAAACAUAUGUUUGAUUGUGUUACUUGAAACAUUAACGGCGACAUAAACAUGUUGUCAUAUGAAACUGAUAUGAAUACUCUUUAGUUGGUGGAGGCUAAACAAUUUAAUGUCGGUUAGUAUGUCUAUACUCAUGAAAGUCGGAUGGUUCUUGCUUCUGGAAUGCAGUGCACAAUAUUCUCUGGUUUCAGGUAACAUCUAACUUGAUCUAUCGUAAACUUUGAUCAAUCAAAUUGUGCCGCAUUUAGUUCCUUGUGCAAUGUUAUAAUCUAUUUUAAUUAUUUUUUUGUAUUAGGAAAUCUCAGUGGUUUUAGUCUUGUCUUAUCUAUUCAUAUUAAAAAUUUAGUACAAUUAGUGUUAUAUCCUAGAAUCAUCUAGAUUGCUUUUUUUUGUCUUUGAAAUUCUCGUUUAUUAAUUCGCUGAAAUGAUUUAUGCCAGAAGUUCUUGGGACUUUAGUCUAUUCAUCAUGCCUUUAAAUAUGAUUUAUACAUAUUUAAUGUUUUCAAACUGUCUAAAUCUUGAAUCCCUAGUUAGAUACUUAGUCUUAAUGUUUUAGAAAAAUUCAACAUGAUGCAGUUUGGCUCUGGAGAAAUAUCAUCAUAGUUGAGAAAGAUAAGAAUUGAGGAUCACUGCAAGAAGUGGAAUAUGCAGAUAAGAAAGUUGUUAGAACAUAAAUCUACAAUAAUUUAGGACAAUUACAGAAUUUUUUUCAGUGUGAUAUGAUGUCACAUAUUAUUGCUGAAGCUUAUUCAGUUAUCUCAGGCUGCCUUUGAGAUUGUCCAUCAAGAGUUGUCCAUCAAGCUAAGAUUUGAGGAGGCAUUUAACAAAUAGUUGUGAACUUGUUAUUAAAUUUUAGAAACAAGAAGUUACUGGGAGAAAAAUGGUCUCUUACAUUUCAACUACCAUGACUGACAAAGAAAGAUGCCAGUUUCUUCCAUAGGAUGAUAUAAACUUUACCCUUUUUUCAUUGUAGAAAUUAAAUCUUUGAUACUAGAUUCUUUGGGCAACGAUGAAUUUUUUCAGUCCAUUUACAAGCUAGUGUACUCAAUGGCAUUCUUCUAUAAUUCUGUUUAGUAUUACAUCUAUUCUUGGUCUUCAUAAGAUGGGGCAUGCGGAAUUAUGCUAAUGUAUGUACUUGUUACUUAGAGAAAUCUUUCACUCCAAGAAAAUUAAUAAUUUUCCUUCAAUUUCUGAUGCUCGAGUUCUUCUCAGUUCAAUUUCUAGAAUUCUGAUGGAAUCAUAGUUUAGUACCGCAUCAGAAGUGAAAAGUAGGAUGGUGUGCAGGGACUGAUGUGUGCAAUAUGAUUAAUUCAAGUUUAGGCAGUUUGACAAUGUGGCUUAGACCAUCAAGGUGAUUGAUUGUUCUCUUGGUUGGAUCAAAACAUUCAUCAUCAUUGAUUAUGAAUUUAGACCAUGUGCUUUAGGCCCAUCCAAUGCUUAGAACCCCUAUGCUCCACAGCCUCUAUACCAUCACUGCAUUACAUUUAUUUCCUCUCAACUAGUAGCCACCCUCCAUUCCACCAUGACACUUCCUUGAUCGUUGCUCACAACCAGAGCAACCAGCUCCUAUGUCUGUUCAACCCUUCCUCCAUUUCCAGUUCACCUUUCAUUCCAAGAAAAGAUUGUGGAUAAUUUGAUAAAGGAUGAUGUGGUAGUUCAACUUUUAGAAAGAAACAUUUGUUUUUAAAAGAAAAAAAAUAUUUAACUGGUCGAGUCCCCUCUUACUUUAAUAAAUUAUUUAUCAUCCAAUACAUUGAAGUUGGUCCAAGAACCAUCACAAACAAAAUUGAUAAGAGAGGUGGCAUCCAUUCCACAGGAUCCGUUAUAACUUUCAAGGAGAAGUGAAAGAUGAGGGAAUCAAUUGCACCAGAUCUUAUCCAAUAAAAAGUUGCAAAUUUAUAAGAGCUAUAGAAAUUUCAUCAUGACCUUCAUAGUGAUAAAUAUCCUAAUAAAUUUAAAUUCCGAUGCUGAGAACAACAAUUAUAGGCCGCUUGCACCUUGAUAUACAAAUCACAUCUUUCUUAUUGAAUUAGCAAUUUUGGUAGCUAGACUAUUUUAGCAUUUUGCUUUUUUAUUUUAAAAAAAAAAACUCCCUAAAAACUCCAUUAUUUCUAAAAAGUAUUUUGGUUGUGAUCUUGUUGAUUAUUCAAUUAAUAUGAGCAUCAUUACUUACCAAAAAUCUCAGUUCAAUAAUGACUAGAGGAAAUAAAACCACAAUUGUAAAAGAUGUAGAUGCUAGUUUGAAGAUUUCAAAUCAAAAUAGAGGACUAGUAUUGAUUUAUCAGGGCUACAUCAAAUAAUCUAGGAGUUUAAAUAAAUAUUGUUAUAAACUAUUACUGAAUCAACACAAAGGGUAGAGUCCUUGACAAACAUAUCACUCAAUUAAUACUACCCAAAUCCUAUAUGCAUCCUAGCCCUCAAUUACAGAGGGCUCCCUCAUGUUUGACUACCUCAUGUUUAGGGAAUAUUUAAGUCAAAUUUCUUGAAAAUCAUAAUAUUCUUACUAGUCAUCAAAGUAAACCUAUAGCUGAGUUAAAUGAACCAUUAGAGAACGAUUAAAACAAAGAAGUUAUGAGACAGUGUUUUUGCAUUGUAUUCUAUCAAUAUCCAGGGAAGGUAACACUUGGAUGAGCAUCACCUUUCAUGCAUAUUUUUGAUGUGAGGAUGCUACUAAUGCCAUUUCACCUAUUUGAUCACUAGGAUAGAACUUGUAUCUGAUCACAUCCUUACCUAUAAGAAAUUUUGUUUACGGACCAAAUUCUUUAUCAAUUGUAAAGAGGUGCUUUGCAACAGUUAGUUACCUUACUGUCUUAGAUGUCAGGUUUAUGUUCUUUUUCCACUAUUGCAUUUAGAUUAAUUUCUCUGUGAUAGUCUCUUCACUCUUUUGAUCAAGAUUGAAUGUUUGGCUUUCCUUAUGCAGUGUUUUCAGUGUCUCACUUACUUUCAAUUUGUUUCCCAUCAGGACUCUGUUCGCUUGCCUAAAUUUGAGAUGACAAUGGUCAAGUCUGAGGCAAACCACAACCCUGUUCUAGCAGCAGAUGUUCAUAUAGUUACUAUGUAAAGCUUGGUCCAAUUCUUUUUUUUUCUUUGUCAUCGCAGCAAGUAUGUAACUUAAAUCCAGCAUUUUGUUAUGUUAAACAUGGGCUAUUUUAACAGCUAUGGUAGAAUAUACUUCCUGCAAUGUGAUAGGGUGGCUAUGCAACUCAACUUAUAUAGAUUUUAUAGUGAUGCUGUUGUGCAACAAAUAUGGUUUGAGAAGUUCCAAGUAAUGCCCCUUAUUGUUUUGGUUAUUAAAAAAAAGAUUUUAUGUAUGUUUGCAUUCUAUAUUUCUUCUUUUCCAAUUGGAUUAAAACGUAGAAUCAUUCUGUUCUGUAGUCCGUGAAACUUCAGGAAGACAAAAGGAAGGUCACUUUCAAAUAGAAAAAUAUAUAUUUUAAAGAUGUUAUCGUAAAUGAAAUUACCUUAAGUUGCUACAUGAUCUCUACCUCAGAAAAUCCUUAAUUUUGCAACUUAAGCACUUGCAUUUUAUGUCUCAGAUUUGUGCUAGAAACUUAAACUUGUUUAUAUUUUGUUCAUCAUAUGAUAAUGUAAACUCUUUUCUGGUAUUAAACUUGGCUUUUAGAAUUACUAUUUAUAUCCUGAAUAGCAUCGAUGUUCUUAUAACUAUCUAAAUUACAUUUUUACUAAUAUGAUAAUAUAUUUAACUUGGUAUAAGGAUCACAUACUUAGCAACACGAGACACAGUGAGAUUACGUUUAGCUUUAAACGUCUAUAUGUACCUAAUAUUUGUCUAUUUUAU